Molecule: ribosomal RNA, 64 nt
Filed under: Trichoderma asperellum
Lineage: Eukaryota; Fungi; Ascomycota; Sordariomycetes; Hypocreales; Hypocreaceae
Description: partial 28S ribosomal RNA
Source: RNAcentral
UUGACCUCGGAUCAGGAGAGGAAUACCCCGGUGAAUGAUAACCAUAUCAGUACGCCCGAGGAGA